GGAAGAGCGAAACGAUGGUGGGGAAAGUAAUAUACCAGAAUCUGUGCUGGGGAGAGACAUACACAACCCUGCUAGGGAUGAGAGCUCACGACCAUGCUGGGGAUAACAGUACUUCAAACCCGACUGCUGGGGAAAACAUUUCACUGACACCUCCGCUGGGGAUACAACAUCCUUCCAACUCAGUGGGGAUAAUCCAACUUUGAACUCAACUAGGAACUCAACUGGGGAA
Molecule: long non-coding RNA, 229 nt
Filed under: Lathyrus oleraceus (garden pea)
Lineage: Eukaryota; Viridiplantae; Streptophyta; Magnoliopsida; Fabales; Fabaceae
Description: Pisum sativum (pea) long non-coding RNA (PSAT_LNC025659)
Source: RNAcentral